RNAcentral lists this ribosomal RNA (497 nucleotides) under uncultured bacterium. Its description in RNAcentral is "partial 16S ribosomal RNA". It matches the Rfam family "Bacterial small subunit ribosomal RNA", at positions 28 to 507 of the family's 1533-position model. The record is from RNAcentral.
GAUGAACGCUGGCGGCGUGCCUAAUACAUGCAAGUCGAGCGAACAGACGAGGAGCUUGCUCCUUUGACGUUAGCGGCGGACGGGUGAGUAACACGUGGGUAACCUACCUAUAAGACUGGGAUAACUUCGGGAAACCGGAGCUAAUACCGGAUAAUAUUUCGAACCGCAUGGUUCGAUAGUGAAAGAUGGCUUUGCUAUCACUUAUAGAUGGACCUGCGCCGUAUUAGCUAGUUGGUAAGGUAACGGCUUACCAAGGCAACGAUACGUAGCCGACCUGAGAGGGUGAUCGGCCACACUGGAACUGAGACACGGUCCAGACUCCUACGGGAGGCAGCAGUAGGGAAUCUUCCGCAAUGGGCGAAAGCCUGACGGAGCAACGCCGCGUGAGUGAUGAAGGUCUUCGGAUCGUAAAACUCUGUUAUUAGGGAAGAACAAACGUGUAAGUAACUGUGCACGUCUUAACGGUACCUAAUCAGAAAGCCACGGCUAACUACGUG